AGUGAACGCUGGCGGUAGGCCUAACACAUGCAAGUCGAACGGCAGCACAGUAAGAGCUUGCUCUUACGGGUGGCGAGUGGCGGACGGGUGAGGAAUACAUCGGAAUCUACUUUUUCGUGGGGGAUAACGUAGGGAAACUUACGCUAAUACCGCAUACGACCUACGGGUGAAAGCAGGGGAUCUUCGGACCUUGCGCGAAUGAAUGAGCCGAUGUCGGAUUAGCUAGUUGGCGGGGUAAAGGCCCACCAAGGCGACCCUCCGUACCUGGCCUGACAGGAGGAUCAGCCACACUGGAACUGGGACACGGUCCAGACUCCUACGGGAGGCAGCAGUGGGGAAUAUUGGACAAUGGGCGCAAGCCUGAUCCAGCCAUACCGCGUGGGUGAAGAAGGCCUUCGGGUUGUAAAGCCCUUUUGUUGGGAAAGAAAAGCAGCAGGUUAAUACCCCGCUGUUCUGACGGUACCCAAAGAAUAAGCACCGGCUAACUUCGUG
RNAcentral lists this ribosomal RNA (492 nucleotides) under uncultured bacterium. Its description in RNAcentral is "partial 16S ribosomal RNA". It matches the Rfam family "Bacterial small subunit ribosomal RNA", at positions 29 to 507 of the family's 1533-position model. The record is from RNAcentral.